CGGGGUGUAGCGCAGUCUGGUAGCGCAUCUGCUUUGGGAGCAGAGGGUCGGCGGUUCGAAUCCGUCCACCCCGACCA
This 77-nucleotide transfer RNA is filed under the name Nisaea sp. RNAcentral describes it as "tRNA-Pro". It matches the Rfam family "tRNA". From Rfam's summary of the family: Transfer RNA (tRNA) molecules are approximately 80 nucleotides in length. Their secondary structure includes four short double-helical elements and three loops (D, anti-codon, and T loops). Further hydrogen bonds mediate the characteristic L-shaped molecular structure. tRNAs have two regions of fundamental functional importance: the anti-codon, which is responsible for specific mRNA codon recognition, and the 3' end, to which the tRNAs corresponding amino acid is attached (by aminoacyl-tRNA synthetases). tRNAs cope with the degeneracy of the genetic code in two manners: having more than one tRNA (with a specific anti-codon) for a particular amino acid; and 'wobble' base-pairing, i.e. permitting non-standard base-pairing at the 3rd anti-codon position. Lineage: Bacteria; Pseudomonadati; Pseudomonadota; Alphaproteobacteria; Rhodospirillales; Thalassobaculaceae. The record is from RNAcentral.